GAGGAGGUGCUGGAGGUGGCCCUCCACGCAUUGGAGGAGGAGGUGCCGGAGGAGGAGGUGGUCCGCGCAUUGGAGGAGGCGGUGGAGAUGGGGCUCCACGCAUAGGUGGAGGAGGUGGAGGCGGGGGAGAUGGGGCUCCACGCAUAGGCGGAGGAGGCGGAGGUGGUGGAGAUGGGGCUCCACGCAUAGGUGGAGGAGGUGGAGAUGGGGCUCCACGCAUAGGCGGAGGGGGUGGAGGCGGGGGAGAUGGGGCUCCACGCAUAGGCGGAGGGGGUGGAGGCGGUGGAGAUGGGGCUGCACGCAUAGGCGGAGGUAAGGAUCCAUGCAUUGGAGGAGGUGGCGGUGGUGGAGGAGGG
RNAcentral lists this long non-coding RNA (356 nucleotides) under Daucus carota (carrot). Its description in RNAcentral is "long non-coding RNA (DCAR_LNC004378)". Lineage: Eukaryota; Viridiplantae; Streptophyta; Magnoliopsida; Apiales; Apiaceae. The record is from RNAcentral.